RNAcentral lists this ribosomal RNA (253 nucleotides) under uncultured bacterium. Its description in RNAcentral is "partial 16S ribosomal RNA". It matches the Rfam family "Bacterial small subunit ribosomal RNA", at positions 524 to 776 of the family's 1533-position model. The record is from RNAcentral.
UACGGAGGGUGCGAGCGUUGUCCGGAAUCACUGGGCGUAAAGGGCGCGUAGGCGGCCUGAUAAGUAGGGGGUGAAAUCCUGCGGCUUAACCGCAGGGCUGCCUUCUAAACUGUCAGGCUAGAGCACAGUAGAGGCAGGUGGAAUUCCCGGUGUAGCGGUGAAAUGCGUAGAGAUCGGGAGGAACACCCGUGGCGAAGGCGGGUCUCUAGCCAGUUCCUGACGCUGAGGCACGAAAGCCAGGGUAGCAAACGGG